GACGAACGCUGGCGGCGUGCUUAACACAUGCAAGUCGAGCGGUAAGGCCCUUUCGGGGGUACACGAGCGGCGAACGGGUGAGUAACACGUGGGUGACCUGCCCUCAGCUCUGGGAUAAGCCUGGGAAACCGGGUCUAAUACUGGAUAUGACUCCAUGACGCAUGUUGUGGGGUGGAAAGCCUUGUGCGGCUGAGGAUGGGCCCGCGGCCUAUCAGCUUGUUGGUGGGGUGANGGCCUACCAAGGCGACGACGGGUAGCCGGCCUGAGAGGGCGACCGGCCACACUGGGACUGAGACACGGCCCAGACUCCUACGGGAGGCAGCAGUGGGGAAUAUUGCGCAAUGGGCGAAAGCCUGACGCAGCGACGCCGCGUGGGUGAUGAAGGCCUCGGUC
RNAcentral lists this ribosomal RNA (393 nucleotides) under uncultured bacterium. Its description in RNAcentral is "bacterial SSU rRNA". It matches the Rfam family "Bacterial small subunit ribosomal RNA", at positions 28 to 424 of the family's 1533-position model. The record is from RNAcentral.